CGGACGGGUGAGUAAUGCCUGGGAAAUUGCCCUGAUGUGGGGGAUAACCAUUGGAAACGAUGGCUAAUACCGCAUAANGUCUACGGACCAAAGAGGGGGACCUUCGGGCCUCUCGCUUCAGGAUAUGCCCAGGUGGGAUUAGCUAGUUGGUGAGGUAAUGGCUCACCAAGGCGACGAUCCCUAGCUGGUCUGAGAGGAUGAUCAGCCACACUGGAACUGAGACACGGUCCAGACUCCUACGGGAGGCAGCAGUGGGGAAUAUUGCACAAUGGGCGCAAGCCUGAUGCANCCAUGCCGCGUGUAUGAAGAAGGCCUUCGGGUUGUAAAGUACUUUCAGUCGUGAGGAANGCGUUGAAGUUAAUANCUUCNUCGNUUGACGNUAGCGACAGAAGAAGCACCGGCUAACUCCGUGCCAGCAGCCGCGGUAAUACGGAGGGUGCGAGCGUUAAUCGGAAUUACUGGGCGUAAAGCGCAUGCAGGUGGNUUGUUAAGUCANAUGUGAAAGCCCGGGGCUCAACCUCGGAACCGCAUUUGAAACUGGCAGGCUAGAGUACUGUANAGGGGG
Molecule: ribosomal RNA, 565 nt
Filed under: Vibrio sp. MR07-23
Lineage: Bacteria; Pseudomonadati; Pseudomonadota; Gammaproteobacteria; Vibrionales; Vibrionaceae
Description: bacterial SSU rRNA
Rfam family: Bacterial small subunit ribosomal RNA
Source: RNAcentral